This 464-nucleotide ribosomal RNA is filed under the name uncultured Pelotomaculum sp. RNAcentral describes it as "bacterial SSU rRNA". It matches the Rfam family "Bacterial small subunit ribosomal RNA", at positions 926 to 1382 of the family's 1533-position model. The record is from RNAcentral. Lineage: Bacteria; Bacillati; Bacillota; Clostridia; Eubacteriales; Desulfotomaculaceae.
CAAGGCGGUGGAGCAUUGUGUUAAUUCGACGACAACGCGAACGAACCUUACCGAGGGCUUGACACUCCCCUGACCGCGUAUGAAAGUACGUUUUCCACCCUCGGGUGACAGGGAGACAGGUGGUGCAUGGUUGUCGUCAGCUCGUGUCGUGAGAUGUUGGGUUAAGUCCCGCAACGAGCGCAACCCCUACGUUUAGUUGCUAACGCGUGAAGGCGAGCACUCUAGACGAACUGCCGUUGACAAAACGGAGGAAGGUGGGGAUGACGUCAAAUCAUCAUGCCCCUUAUGUUCUGGGCUACACACGUGCUACAAUGGCCGGUACAGACGGACGCAAAGCCGCGAGGUGGAGCAAAUCCUAAAAAGCCGGUCUCAGUUCGGAUUGCAGGCUGCAAUUCGCCUGCAUGAAGUCGGAAUCGCUAGUAAUCGCAGGUCAGCAUACUGCGGUGAAUACGUUCCCGGGCCUU